Molecule: ribosomal RNA, 590 nt
Filed under: Trichoderma harzianum
Lineage: Eukaryota; Fungi; Ascomycota; Sordariomycetes; Hypocreales; Hypocreaceae
Description: eukaryotic LSU rRNA
Rfam family: 5.8S ribosomal RNA (bases 203-356)
Source: RNAcentral
CCGAGUUUACAACUCCCAAACCCAAUGUGAACGUUACCAAACUGUUGCCUCGGCGGGAUCUCUGCCCCGGGUGCGUCGCAGCCCCGGACCAAGGCGCCCGCCGGAGGACCAACCAAAACUCUUAUUGUAUACCCCCUCGCGGGUUUUUUUUAUAAUCUGAGCCUUCUCGGCGCCUCUCGUAGGCGUUUCGAAAAUGAAUCAAAACUUUCAACAACGGAUCUCUUGGUUCUGGCAUCGAUGAAGAACGCAGCGAAAUGCGAUAAGUAAUGUGAAUUGCAGAAUUCAGUGAAUCAUCGAAUCUUUGAACGCACAUUGCGCCCGCCAGUAUUCUGGCGGGCAUGCCUGUCCGAGCGUCAUUUCAACCCUCGAACCCCUCCGGGGGGUCGGCGUUGGGGAUCGGCCCUGCCUUGGCGGUGGCCGUCUCCGAAAUACAGUGGCGGUCUCGCCGCAGCCUCUCCUGCGCAGUAGUUUGCACACUCGCAUCGGGAGCGCGGCGCGUCCACAGCCGUUAAACACCCAACUUCUGAAAUGUUGACCUCGGAUCAGGUAGGAAUACCCGCUGAACUUAAGCAUAUCAAUAAGCGGAGGAA